Molecule: ribosomal RNA, 485 nt
Filed under: uncultured bacterium
Lineage: Bacteria
Description: bacterial SSU rRNA
Rfam family: Bacterial small subunit ribosomal RNA
Source: RNAcentral
UCUUGGUUCAGGACGAACGCUGGCGGCGUGCUUAACACAUGCAAGUCGAGCGAUGAAGCUUCUUCGGAAGUGGAUUAGCGGCGGACGGGUGAGUAACACGUGGGUAACUUGCCUCAUAGAGGGGAAUAGCCUUCCGAAAGGAAGAUUAAUACCGCAUAAGAUUGUAAUAUCGCAUGAUAUAGCAAUUAAAGGAGUAAUCCGCUAUGAGAUGGACCCGCGUCGCAUUAGCUAGUUGGUGAGGUAACGGCUCACCAAGGCGACGAUGCGUAGCCGACCUGAGAGGGUGAUCGGCCACAUUGGGACUGAGACACGGCCCAGACUCCUACGGGAGGCAGCAGUGGGGAAUAUUGCACAAUGGGGGAAACCCUGAUGCAAGCAACGCCGCGUGAGUGAUGACGGUCUUCGGAUUGUAAAGCUCUGUCUUCAGGGACGAUAAUGACGGUACCUGAGGAGGAAGCCACGGCUAACUACGUGCCAGCCGCCGC